RNAcentral lists this ribosomal RNA (497 nucleotides) under uncultured bacterium. Its description in RNAcentral is "partial 16S ribosomal RNA". It matches the Rfam family "Bacterial small subunit ribosomal RNA", at positions 28 to 507 of the family's 1533-position model. The record is from RNAcentral.
GAUGAACGCUGGCGGCGUGCCUAAUACAUGCAAGUCGAGCGAACGGACGAGAAGCUUGCUUCUCUGAUGUUAGCGGCGGACGGGUGAGUAACACGUGGAUAACCUACCUAUAAGACUGGGAUAACUUCGGGAAACCGGAGCUAAUACCGGAUAAUAUUUUGAACCGCAUGGUUCAAAAGUGAAAGACGGUCUUGCUGUCACUUAUAGAUGGAUCCGCGCUGCAUUAGCUAGUUGGUAAGGUAACGGCUUACCAAGGCAACGAUGCAUAGCCGACCUGAGAGGGUGAUCGGCCACACUGGAACUGAGACACGGUCCAGACUCCUACGGGAGGCAGGCGUAGGGAAUCUUCCGCAAUUGGCGAAAGCCUGACGGAGGAACGCCGCGGGAGUGAUGAAGGUCUUCGGAUCGUAAAACUCUGUUAUUUGGGAAGAACAUAUUUGUAAGUAACUGUGCACAUCUUGACGGUACCUAAUCAGAAAGCCACGGCUAACUACGUG